RNAcentral lists this ribosomal RNA (1206 nucleotides) under metagenome. RNAcentral describes it as "bacterial SSU rRNA". It matches the Rfam family "Bacterial small subunit ribosomal RNA", at positions 24 to 1248 of the family's 1533-position model. The record is from RNAcentral.
UCAGAGUGAACGCUGGCGGCGUGCUUAACACAUGCAAGUCGAACGAUGAACCUUAGCUUGCUAAGGGGAUUAGUGGCGCACGGGUGAGUAAUAUAUAGAUAAUGUACCUCUUAGUCUGGGAUAGCCAUUGGAAACGAUGAUUAAUACUAGAUACUCCUUCUCAUUCUAAUGUGAGUCGGGAAAGUUUUUUCGCUAAGAGAUCAGUCUAUAUCCCAUCAGUUAGUUGGUAGGGUAAUGGCCUACCAAGGCAAUGACGGGUAGCGGGUUUGAGAGGAUGAUCCGCCACACUGGUACUGAGACACGGACCGGACUCCUACGGGAGGCAGCUGUGAGGAAUAUUGCACAAUGGAGGAAACUCUGAUGCAGCAACGCCGCGUGGAGGAUGACGCAUUUCGGUGUGUAAACUCCUUUUAUGAGUCAAGAAAAUGACGGUAGCUCAUGAAUAAGCACCGGCUAACUCCGUGCCAGCAGCCGCGGUAAUACGGAGGGUGCAAGCGUUACUCGGAAUCACUGGGCGUAAAGGACGCGUAGGCGGGUUGGCAAGUCUGAUGUGAAAUCCUAUGGCUCAACCAUAGAACUGCAUUGGAAACUGCUAACCUAGAGUGUGGGAGGGGGAGAUGGAAUUAGUGGUGUAGGGGUAAAAUCCGUAGAUAUCACUAGGAAUACCGAAAGCGAAGGCGAUCUCCUGGAACAUGACUGACGCUAAGGCUUGAAAGCGUGGGGAGCAAACGGGAUUAGAUACCCCGGUAGUCCACGCCCUAAACGAUGUUCACUAGUCGUCGGGAUGCUUGUCAUCUCGGUGAUGCACUUAACAGAUUAAGUGAACCGCCUGGGGAGUACGGUCGCAAGAUUAAAACUCAAAGGAAUAGACGGGGACCCGCACAAGUGGUGGAGCAUGUGGUUUAAUCCGAAAAUACGCGAAGAACCUUACCUAGCCUUGACAUUGAUAGAACGGACCAGAGAUGGACCGGUGCCCUUCGGGGAACUUGAAAACAGGUGCUGCACGGCUGUCGUCAGCUCGUGUCGUGAGAUGUUGGGUUAAGUCCCGCAACGAGCGCAACCCUCGUCCUUAGUUGCCAGCAGGUUAAGCUGGGCACUCUAAGGAGACUGCCUUCGCAAGGAGGAGGAAGGUGAGGACGACGUCAAGUCAUCAUGGCCCUUAUGGCUAGGGCUACACACGUGCUACAAUGGGGCGUACAGAGAGUU